This 253-nucleotide unclassified non-coding RNA is filed under the name uncultured Rhodobacterales bacterium. RNAcentral describes it as "contains 16S-23S intergenic spacer region". It matches the Rfam family "Bacterial small subunit ribosomal RNA", at positions 524 to 776 of the family's 1533-position model. The record is from RNAcentral. Lineage: Bacteria; Pseudomonadati; Pseudomonadota; Alphaproteobacteria; Rhodobacterales.
UACGGAGGGGACUAGCGUUGUUCGGAAUUACUGGGCGUAAAGCGCGCGUAGGCGGAUCGUUAAGUCAGGGGUGAAAUCCCGGGGCUCAACCCCGGAACUGCCCUUGAUACUGGCGGUCUUGAGUUCGAGAGAGGUGAGUGGAAUUCCGAGUGUAGAGGUGAAAUUCGUAGAUAUUCGGAAGAACACCAGUGGCGAAGGCGACUCACUGGCUCGAUACUGACGCUGAGGCGCGAAAGCAUGGGUAGCAAACAGG